This 458-nucleotide ribosomal RNA is filed under the name uncultured Candidatus Desulforudis sp. RNAcentral's name for it is "bacterial SSU rRNA". It matches the Rfam family "Bacterial small subunit ribosomal RNA", at positions 346 to 795 of the family's 1533-position model. The record is from RNAcentral. Lineage: Bacteria; Bacillati; Bacillota; Clostridia; Thermoanaerobacterales; Desulforudaceae.
GGGCUGCAGUGGGGAAUCUUCCGCAAUGGGCGCAAGCCUGACGGAGCGACGCCGCGUGGGGGACGAAGGCCUUCGGGUUGUAAACCUCUUUUCUGAGGGAAGAACGUUCUAGCUGUUAAUAGCAGAUAGAGUUGACGGUACUUUAGGAAUAAGCCCCGGCUAACUACGUGCCAGCAGCCGCGGUAAUACGUAGGGGGCGAGCGUUGUCCGGAAUCACUGGGCGUAAAGGGCGUGUAGGCGGCUAGAGUAGUCGCAGGUGAAAUCCCACGGCUCAACCGUGGAACUGCCUGCGAAACCAUCUAGCUUGAGGACAGGAGAGGAAAGCGGAAUUCCUGGUGUAGCGGUGAAAUGCGUAGAUAUCAGGAGGAACAUCAGUGGCGAAGGCGGCUUUCUGGCCUGGUCCUGACGCUGAGGCGCGAAAGCUAGGGGAGCAAACAGGAUUAGAUACCCCAGUAGUC